This 441-nucleotide ribosomal RNA is filed under the name uncultured bacterium. RNAcentral describes it as "bacterial SSU rRNA". It matches the Rfam family "Bacterial small subunit ribosomal RNA", at positions 338 to 795 of the family's 1533-position model. The record is from RNAcentral.
CCUACGGGGGGCUGCAGUGGGGAAUAUUGCACAAUGGGCGAAAGCCUGAUGCAGCGACGCCGCGUGAGCGAAGAAGGCCUUCGGGUCGUAGAGCUCUGUCCUAUGGGAAGAAAGAUGACGGUACCAUAGGAGGAAGCCCCGGCUAACUACGUGCCAGCAGCCGCGGUAAUACGUAGGGGGCGAGCGUUGUCCGGAAUGACUGGGCGUAAAGCGCGCGUAGGCGGAUAAUUAAGUCAGAUGUGAAAACUCUGGGCUCAACCGAGAGCAUGCACCUGAUACUGGUUAACUUGAGUGUAGAAGAGGAGAGUGGAAUUCCUAGUGUAGCGGUGAAAUGCGUAGAUAUUAGGAGGAACACCAGUGGCGAAGGCGACUCUCUGGUCUAUAACUGACGCUGAGGCGCGAAAGCGUGGGGAGCAAACAGGAUUAGAUACCCUUGUAGUC